Camellia sinensis is the source of this 1980-nucleotide non-coding RNA. Lineage: Eukaryota; Viridiplantae; Streptophyta; Magnoliopsida; Ericales; Theaceae. The record is from RefSeq and is a predicted model, not a curated record.
AUGAAUAACAAAGUUAAAAGUUAGCUAGCCAAAAAAAAAAAGAACUGAAAGAUGUUAAAUGCAAUAGUGUUGUAUCUCCACAAUAUCAUUUUUGAAAGAAAAAAAAUGUGCAAAAUGCUUAAAUUCAGGUUGAACACACACUUCUAAAAAAGUAAACAACUGAAUCAAAAUGGCGAAGGUAGGUCAGUCGACCACAUUGCACCAGCUGAUUGACCAAGAUUAACUAAUUGAAAUUACCUAAUCUCGUCAACUUUACGGCUUUUACUGUGGUACUAAAGCAUUCAAACACCAUAAUAUAAUCUCUAGCUAUGAUGAACUGGAAUCAUUAAAGAAGAAACUGAAUUUACUCUAGAUAAUGGGCUGAGAGAAGAAUUUUUCUGGUUAAUACUAGGAAUGCACUAGGGUAGCUACAGCAAGAGAGGGAGGAGAGCAAAAGUGUCGAUUAUAAAAAUAUCCUGCACUCUAGGUCAUCUUCAAAAUAGCAUUAAGUCGACAUAUAGCAAUCUACAGUCCUCUAGCUAGUGCCCUCGGAAUAUGAUUUUUAGCACAGGUUCAAGUCUUCACACUGCCAUGUUCUGGAAAAUGUCAAGGCAAAUCAUUUAAGGAUGCCUUUAGCACUCAAAGAAGGUAUAAAAGUCAAAACGUGACAUGCUAUAUGGCACCGAAACAAGGGGUAAGCCUCAAAACAUAACUUAAAUUACAGAUAAGUCAAAUAAGUUAUCAAUUCAAUCCAGGAUUUAGGUAAGUUUCACUUAAGGUACUAAUUCGCAAAUCUCCGGAAUUCAUAGCAUGACUCUGUUUUCAUUAGUAAGUCCAUCUAGUAUAAUAAGAUCCACUCAGUUUUAUAUUUUCUUCAAUUAUAAAGAUCAUGCUACAAAUUAAUGAAACCCAAACAAGUAAACUAUGUGAUAUGUAAUUUAGUUGUGUGAUGGGUGAAGCUCACAAGAGUAGAGAUGGGUGUGGUGGAGAUGAUUAAAAAAAUAAUAAUAAUAAAAUUGGGGAAAGCUAAUGAUCAUCUAAGGACUUUAGGAUUCAGUGCUACUUUGAAUGGUCAUUGACCUGAGGUGGAGGCUUGGAAUUCUUGCUAUUCAAGUGCCUCUUUCUCAAGUAUCUUUAACGGCCCAGAAACCCCAUCCAACAAAAAUGAGAAAAACAAACUCUUGUCUUCCUCCCAAAUCUAUGGAGGACUACACAGGAAACACAUUAUCGUCCUUGCUCAUCCUUCUGACUAAAACAUUGAGUAGAAUGGUUAAACAAGCAGAUAAGGAAGCUUCUACUCAGGCUAUAAAGUCUUUCAUUAUAGCAGUCCCAUAAUUUCUCUAUGACCUCCAUUGAGCAGUAUCAACAUGCGAGUAUCACUUUUAUCAUCUUCUAGCUUGUGUUGGGGCUUCAUGUUAAUCUUUAAAAGUUCUGGUUAUACAUGUAAAAGAAGAGAUUGACCUUUUCUCUUUUGCAUGCGAUCAGGACUGGUAUGGUUCUUGUUUCACUCAUCUAGAUCUUCUCCAUGAUGGGAAGAAAGCUAAGAUUUACCCAGAAAUUUGUGGAUGGAAAGAAAUGGUAUCUCAGUUCUCAGAAAUGCAAAUAUGUGCCUAAGGUUGUUGAGCACUAUAUAUAUUCGUCCACUUUCCUUCUAUCUCUACUUUCAAUCUAAAAGAGGCAGCUGGGAGACAGGAGAUACAAAUAGAAGUUUUCUCCCCUCAAAAGAUGGGGGCCUCACCAUUCACCCUUAUGAUCAUCAGUAAGGGGCAUUGGAGAUUUGUUCAAGGUCUCUAAUAGCAUUAGGCAUUAAGUCAUUAAGUCGUGGCUUGAAUAGUAAAGGGUCCUCUUCUCAUAUGGGUCAAAUAUGUGUCAAAGUUUUUUAAGGCGACUAUGUAACGUGAGGCGUUUUAUCCCUCGUCAGACAAGACAUAGGCCUUGAGGCAUCAAGGGAUAAACAUUUUAAAUUUUGAAUUUUAUAUUUAGAAAAUAAAUUAAAUAUUU